CGGGGCGUAGCGCAGUUUGGUAGCGCACCACACUGGGGGUGUGGUGGUCACAGGUUCAAAUCCUGUCGUCCCGA
This 74-nucleotide transfer RNA is filed under the name endosymbiont of Galathealinum brachiosum. It matches the Rfam family "tRNA". From Rfam's summary of the family: Transfer RNA (tRNA) molecules are approximately 80 nucleotides in length. Their secondary structure includes four short double-helical elements and three loops (D, anti-codon, and T loops). Lineage: Bacteria; Pseudomonadati; Pseudomonadota; Gammaproteobacteria. RNAcentral also lists the same sequence under 1 other name. The record is from Rfam by way of RNAcentral.